AGUCGAGCGGGCGUAGCAAUGCGUCAGCGGCAGACGGGUGAGUAACGCGUGGGAACGUACCUUUUGGUUCGGAACAACACAGGGAAACUUGUGCUAAUACCGGAUAAGCCCUUACGGGGAAAGAUUUAUCGCCGAAAGAUCGGCCCGCGUCUGAUUAGCUAGUUGGUAGGGUAACGGCCUACCAAGGCGACGAUCAGUAGCUGGUCUGAGAGGAUGAUCAGCCACAUUGGGACUGAGACACGGCCCAAACUCCUACGGGAGGCAGCAGUGGGGAAUAUUGGACAAUGGGGGCAACCCUGAUCCAGCCAUGCCGCGUGAGUGAUGAAGGCCCUAGGGUUGUAAAGCUCUUUUGUGCGGGAAGAUAAUGACGGUACCGCAAGAAUAAGCCCCGGCUAACUUCGUGCCAGCAGCCGCGGUAAUACGAAGGGGGCUAGCGUUGCUCGGAAUCACUGGGCGUAAAGGGUGCGUAGGCGGGUCUUUAAGUCAGGGGUGAAAUCCUGGAGCUCAACUCCAGAACUGCCUUUGAUACUGAAGAUCUUGAGUUCGGGAGAGGUGAGUGGAACUGCGAGUGUAGAGGUGAAAUUCGUAGAUAUUCGCAAGAACACCAGUGGCGAAGGCGGCUCACUG
This 627-nucleotide ribosomal RNA is filed under the name Bradyrhizobium japonicum. RNAcentral's name for it is "bacterial SSU rRNA". It matches the Rfam family "Bacterial small subunit ribosomal RNA", at positions 60 to 731 of the family's 1533-position model. Lineage: Bacteria; Pseudomonadati; Pseudomonadota; Alphaproteobacteria; Hyphomicrobiales; Nitrobacteraceae. The record is from RNAcentral.